GUGAGGAAUAUUGCACAAUGGGCGAAAGCUUGAUGCAGCAACGCCGCGUGGGUGAUGAAGGCCUUCGGGUCGUAAAACCCUUUUGAGGGAGACGAGCAAGGACGGUAUCUCUCGAAUAAGGUUCGGCUAACUACGUGCCAGCAGCCGCGGUAAAACGUAGGAACCGAGCGUUAUCCGGAUUCACUGGGUGUAAAGCGCGUGCAGGUGGCUUCGUAAGUUGGACGUGAAAUCUCCUGGCUUAACUGGGAGAGGCCGUUCAAUACUGCGGGGCUUGAGGGCAGGAGAGGGAGGUGGAAUUCCCGGUGUAGUGGUGAAAUGCGUAGAUAUCGGGAGGAACACCAGUGGCGAAGGCGGCCUCCUGGCCUGCUCCUGACACUAAGACGCGAAAGCUAGGGGAGCGAACGGGAUUAGAUACCCGGGUAGUCC
Molecule: ribosomal RNA, 426 nt
Filed under: uncultured bacterium
Lineage: Bacteria
Description: bacterial SSU rRNA
Rfam family: Bacterial small subunit ribosomal RNA
Source: RNAcentral